GUAGCUCAGAGGUUAAGAGCACUGGCUGCUCUUCCAGAGGUCCUGAGUUCAAUUCUCAGUACA
Molecule: transfer RNA, 63 nt
Filed under: Cricetulus griseus (Chinese hamster)
Lineage: Eukaryota; Metazoa; Chordata; Mammalia; Rodentia; Cricetidae
Rfam family: tRNA
About the family: Transfer RNA (tRNA) molecules are approximately 80 nucleotides in length. Their secondary structure includes four short double-helical elements and three loops (D, anti-codon, and T loops). Further hydrogen bonds mediate the characteristic L-shaped molecular structure. tRNAs have two regions of fundamental functional importance: the anti-codon, which is responsible for specific mRNA codon recognition, and the 3' end, to which the tRNAs corresponding amino acid is attached (by aminoacyl-tRNA synthetases). tRNAs cope with the degeneracy of the genetic code in two manners: having more than one tRNA (with a specific anti-codon) for a particular amino acid; and 'wobble' base-pairing, i.e. permitting non-standard base-pairing at the 3rd anti-codon position.
Source: Rfam by way of RNAcentral